This 253-nucleotide ribosomal RNA is filed under the name uncultured bacterium. RNAcentral's name for it is "partial 16S ribosomal RNA". It matches the Rfam family "Bacterial small subunit ribosomal RNA", at positions 524 to 776 of the family's 1533-position model. The record is from RNAcentral.
UACGAAGGGGGCUAGCGUUGCUCGGAAUCACUGGGCGUAAAGCGCACGUAGGCGGCUUGUUAAGUCAGGGGUGAAAUCCUGGAGCUCAACUCCAGAACUGCCUUUGAUACUGGCGAGCUCGAGUCCGGGAGAGGUGAGUGGAACUGCGAGUGUAGAGGUGAAAUUCGUAGAUAUUCGCAAGAACACCAGUGGCGAAGGCGGCUCACUGGCCCGGUACUGACGCUGAGGCGCGAAAGCGUGGGGAGCAAACAGG